UACUGGUUAUCUUGAGUUGUAUUGAAGUAGGCGGAAUAUGUAGUGUAGCGGUGAAAUGCAUAGAUAUUACAUAGAACACCAAUUGCGAAGGCAGCUUACUAAGUACUAACUGACGCUGAUGGACGAAAGCGUGGGUAGCGAACAGGAUUAGAUACCCUGGUAGUCCACGCCGUAAACGAUGGAUACUAGCUGUUCGGGGCCUUGAGCUCUGAGCGGCUAAGCGAAAGUGAUAAGUAUCCCACCUGGGGAGUACGUUCGCAAGAAUGAAACUCAAAGGAAUUGACGGGGGCCCGCACAAGCGGUGGAGCAUGUGGUUUAAUUCGAUGAUACGCGAGGAACCUUACCAGGGCUUAAAUGUAGUCUGACAGCUUUAGAGAUAGAGUUUUCUUCGGACAGAUUACAAGGUGCUGCAUGGUUGUCGUCAGCUCGUGCCGUGAGGUGUCAGGUUAAGUCCUAUAACGAGCGCAACCCCUGUCGUUAGUUGCCAGCAUGUCAUGAUGGGGACUCUAACGAGACUGCCGGUGCAAACCGCGAGGAAGGUGGGGAUGACGUCAAAUCAUCACGGCCCUUACGUCCUGGGCCACACACGUGCUACAAUGGCCGGUACAGAGAGCAGCCACGUCGCAAGGCGGAGCGAAUCUAUAAACCGGUCACAGUUCGGAUC
Molecule: ribosomal RNA, 664 nt
Filed under: uncultured bacterium
Lineage: Bacteria
Description: bacterial SSU rRNA
Rfam family: Bacterial small subunit ribosomal RNA
Source: RNAcentral